RNAcentral lists this ribosomal RNA (253 nucleotides) under uncultured bacterium. RNAcentral describes it as "partial 16S ribosomal RNA". It matches the Rfam family "Bacterial small subunit ribosomal RNA", at positions 524 to 776 of the family's 1533-position model. The record is from RNAcentral.
UACGUAGGGUGCGAGCGUUAAUCGGAAUUACUGGGCGUAAAGCGUGCGUAGACGGCUAUCUAAGUCGGGUGUGAAAGCCCCGGGCUCAACCUGGGAAUUGCAUUCGAGACUGAAUAGCUAGGGUACGGUAGAGGGAAGCGGAAUUUCCGGUGUAGCGGUGAAAUGCGUAGAUAUCGGAAGGAACAUCAGUGGCGAAAGCGGCUUCCUGGACCAGUACCGACGUUCAGGCACGAAAGCGUGGGGAGCAAACAGG